AUCUAAAAUGCAAAUCCACUGAACAAGCCCCAUCCUGUCUGAUCUCGGAAGCUAAGAAGGGUCAGGCCUGGUUAGUACUUAAGUGGGAGACCACCUAGAAGACCAGGUGCUGUAGGUG
Molecule: ribosomal RNA, 118 nt
Filed under: Pteropus alecto (black flying fox)
Lineage: Eukaryota; Metazoa; Chordata; Mammalia; Chiroptera; Pteropodidae
Also listed under: 1 other name
Source: RNAcentral